This 87-nucleotide transfer RNA is filed under the name Yersinia enterocolitica (type O:5,27) str. YE149/02. Its description in RNAcentral is "transfer RNA-Ser". Lineage: Bacteria; Pseudomonadati; Pseudomonadota; Gammaproteobacteria; Enterobacterales; Yersiniaceae. The record is from RNAcentral.
AAGGAGCACGCCUGGAAAGUGUGUAUACGUGUAAGCGUAUCGAGGGUUCGAACCCCUCCCUCACCGCCAUAUUAAAAUGAAAAGCUC